AUUCAUACAACAUGGUAACCAGGAAAGUAUCAAGACCCCUGCUAGGAUGCUAUAUGAAAGAAGACAGACAGUAUUGAAGCCCUCAGCCAAUAGACACAAAGCACAGAAGUUAAUUGCCAGAGGAAAAGGAGAAUGUGCACGUGAGGAAGACGGGCUUCUAUGAUAUCCACUGCCUGCCUCUGGCUGGAGUGUAAACAGAUGUGGUAAUGAAGAGAUGAAACUGACAUCUAUGAAGUAUGUGCCAAAAAUAUUUGACCUGCAACCUUUUGGAAACAAACCUGAAAACAUGAGUAGUUUAGCCAAGUCUUACUCACUUAGAAUUGCC
Hemicordylus capensis (graceful crag lizard) is the source of this 325-nucleotide long non-coding RNA. RefSeq lists it as uncharacterized. The record is from RefSeq and is a predicted model, not a curated record. The transcript is spliced from 3 exons. Lineage: Eukaryota; Metazoa; Chordata; Lepidosauria; Squamata; Cordylidae.